RNAcentral lists this ribosomal RNA (832 nucleotides) under Arthrobacter sp. 3C-G1-52. RNAcentral's name for it is "bacterial SSU rRNA". It matches the Rfam family "Bacterial small subunit ribosomal RNA", at positions 61 to 905 of the family's 1533-position model. Lineage: Bacteria; Bacillati; Actinomycetota; Actinomycetes; Micrococcales; Micrococcaceae. The record is from RNAcentral.
GUCGAACGAUGAUCCUCAGCUUGCUGGGGGGAUUAGUGGCGAACGGGUGAGUAACACGUGAGUAACCUGCCCUUGACUCUGGGAUAAGCCUGGGAAACUGGGUCUAAUACUGGAUAUGACCUUCCAUCGCAUGGUGGUUGGUGGAAAGCUUUUGUGGUUUUGGAUGGACUCGCGGCCUAUCAGCUUGUUGGUGGGGUAAUGGCCUACCAAGGCGACGACGGGUAGCCGGCCUGAGAGGGUGGACGGCCACACUGGGACUGAGACACGGCCCAGACUCCUACGGGAGGCAGCAGUGGGGAAUAUUGCACAAUGGGCGCAAGCCUGAUGCAGCGACGCCGCGUGAGGGAUGAAGGCCUUCGGGUUGUAAACCUCUUUCAGUAGGGAAGAAGCGUAAGUGACGGUACCUGCAGAAGAAGCGCCGGCUAACUACGUGCCAGCAGCCGCGGUAAUACGUAGGGCGCAAGCGUUAUCCGGAAUUAUUGGGCGUAAAGAGCUCGUAGGCGGUUUGUCGCGUCUGCCGUGAAAGUCCGGGGCUUAACUCCGGAUCUGCGGUGGGUACGGGCAGACUUGAGUGAUGUAGGGGAGACUGGAAUUCCUGGUGUAGCGGUGAAAUGCGCAGAUAUCAGGAGGAACACCGAUGGCGAAGGCAGGUCUCUGGGCAUUAACUGACGCUGAGGAGCGAAAGCAUGGGGAGCGAACAGGAUUAGAUACCCUGGUAGUCCAUGCCGUAAACGUUGGGCACUAGGUGUGGGGGACAUUCCACGUUUUCCGCGCCGUAGCUAACGCAUUAAGUGCCCCGCCUGGGGAGUACGGCCGCAAGGCUAAAAUCAUG